GCACUCGUAGCUCAACGGAUAGAGCAUCUGACUACGGAUCAGAAGGUUGCAGGUUCGAAUCCUGCCGAGUGCACCA
RNAcentral lists this transfer RNA (76 nucleotides) under Streptomyces sp. Its description in RNAcentral is "tRNA-Arg(acg)". It matches the Rfam family "tRNA". From Rfam's summary of the family: Transfer RNA (tRNA) molecules are approximately 80 nucleotides in length. Their secondary structure includes four short double-helical elements and three loops (D, anti-codon, and T loops). Lineage: Bacteria; Bacillati; Actinomycetota; Actinomycetes; Kitasatosporales; Streptomycetaceae. The record is from RNAcentral. RNAcentral also lists the same sequence under 12 other names.